GAAUUAUCACGCAUGUGAGCUUUCUACGUGAACUAUCACCAAAAGUGUAUCGAAACACACGUCAAUUACCAAUAUUAAUCAACAUAAAUGAUAAAUUAUUCUCAUGAAAAUGUCAAUAAUAUUACUUGUGAGCUUUUAAUAUAUCGAGUGAUUAUUUAAAGAAACUUAUUGUGAUUGGUGAUGUAUGAAGAUAUAAAACCUGUAAUAAGACGAGGUCAAGAUAGAAUAUGGCGAUUGGUAUUUAUUUUCCACUUUUAAAGGGUCUAAAUAUUUUUUUAUUUAGAAAAAAGAACUCGUAUGGUAUCAGAGCUUGAUCUACAGUGACUACUGUAUUGCUUCGAAGUAUCUCUGCUGAAUCAUGGCAACUGUCGACAAUGAACUGCCUGAAAAGCUGAGCCAUAAUCAUCAUCUUUUCUUGCAUUCAAUUGACAAUUCUGGUGUUCUACUCAGUUUAAUACAACUGACUGGAUCUGACAAUUUCUCAGUAUGGAGUCGAGCAAUGAAGAUUGCAAUUCUAGGUCGAAAUAAACUCGGAUUCAUCGAUGGAUCGUGCAAAAAGGAAUCGUAUGGUCCAAAUCUAUCAAAUCUAUGAGAACGCUGCAAUGCCAUAGUACUUUCAUGGAUUAUGAAUUGUGUAUCGAAGGAAUUACUUGGAGGCAUAGUGUACUCCACAAAUGCUACUGCUGUGUGAAAGGAUCUUUGUGAAAGAUAUGACAAAAUUGAUUGAUCGCGUAUCUUUCAAUUGCACAAGGAGAUUGCAACAAUCAGUCAAGGUACCAGUUCAAUCUCAACCUAUUUUUCUAAGUUGCAUGAGUUAUGGGUAGAGUAUGAGAGUCUAGCUCCUGUUCCUAGCUGUGAAUGUGUUAAUUCGAGAGAAUUUGGAGUGUUUAUGCAUAAUCAGAAACUGCUUCAGUUCCUCAUGGGACUUAAUGACUCAUAUGAGCAAGGUAGAGGUCAGAUUCUUAUGAUGGUCCCAUUGCCAUCUCUGAACAAAACCUACUCUCUAUUGAUUAAAAGAGAGAAUCAGCGUAACAUCUCUCAAAUAUCCAGUAGUUCCAGUUCUUCUGAGCUAAGUGCCUUAUUCACUACUGGUCACAUUUCAAAUCCAUUGCCUAAGACAAGAUCUAGUUCGAGUUAUGAUCCAAAUGCAUUUUGUGACUACUGCAAAAGAACAGGACACACACAGGCUAUUUGUUAUAAACUUCAUGGCUAUCCACCUGGUUAUGAAAGGAAGAAGAAAGGAACUCCUACCACAAAUCAUGGGAGAUGAAGAUCCAAUAAUGAAAGGAGUCCAUAUCCAGCUGCUCACAAUGCAGUUAGUGAAUCUGAUCAGCCUCCUAGGUACAAUGAUGAGUCUGAAUAUAGCAGAUUUAUGAAUCAAAGGGCUCACAGCUAUGGCAGAGGAUCUAGACAAUCAGAUUAUACUGAGUAUCACGAAGGAAUGAAUGUCAUACAUGAGCAAUACAACCAAAUUUUACACAUGCUUGGUCAAUCCAAUUUACAAGGCAGCUUAGAAGGAGCCUCAGCUUCAGGGUCAUCUAGUGCAAAUCUGGCUAAGGAUCACUAUUCAUCUACAUGUAAUGCUACUGCACUUACAGUUAGCUCUGCACAGUCAAACUGGAUUCUAGACUCCGGAGCAGCAAAUCAUAUGACACCUAAUUCAGAUUUACUUGAUCAUAAACAACCAAUGUCUGCUGAUAAACCUAGAAGUGUACAGUUACCAAAUGGAGACACUACACUCAUUACUCAUACAGGAUCAUGUAAAAUGACAUCACAAGGCAUUAUCAAUAAUGUGCUUCUCAUUCCUGACUUUAAAUUCAAUUUGAUGUCAGUCUCUAAAAUUACUAAGGAUCUACAAUGUGCAGUGUGUUUUUUUCCUAAUUUUGUUACUAUUCAGGACCUCUACAGUGGGCAGGUGAAGGUGAUUGGUAGAGAGCAUGUAGUGUUCUAUCUUCUACCUACUCACUCAUCCACUACUGACAAAGUCUCUUCAUUAUAUUCACAUCUCGCUCAAGAUGAUAUUUCUCUAUCAGAGUCACAUUCCAUUCUAUGGCAUAAAAGAUUAGGACACACUUCUUCCACUGUUCUAGCUAAUGUUCUUGAUCUUUCUGUUAAACAAUGUUACAAGGAAGUUCACAAUUGCACUAUCUGUCCACUUGCUAAACAACCUAGAUUACCUUUUCAGCAUAGCAAUAUUGUAUCUACUUGUCCAUUUCAGUUGAUUCAUAUAGAUGUUUGGGGUCCCUUUCAUACCCCUACAUACGAUGGGAAUAGAGUUUUUGUAACCAUAGUCGACGAUUGUACUAGAAUGAUGUAGUUGUUUCUAAUAAAGCUGAAGAGUGAAGUUUGUGUUGUUUUGAAAAAUUUCUUCACUUUAGUCAAGACUCGGUUCAAUUCUUUGGUUAAAAUCAUUAGAACCGACAAUGGUUCUGAAUUUGUUAAUACUGAGUGCCACAAUUUAUAUACUAGCUUAGGCAUUAUACAUCAGAGAACAUAUAUUCAUACACCAUAGCAAAAUGGUAUUGCGGAAAGAAAACAUCGCCAUAUUCUUGAGGUUGCUAGGGCCAUCAAGUUUCAAGGGCAUAUUCCCACCAAGUUCUGGGGUCAUUGCAUCCUUAAUGCUGCUUAUAUUAUCAACAGACUACCCACACCUGUUCUACAUGGCAAGUCUCCUCAUGAAAUGUUUCACAAAAGAAAACCUUAUCUUCAUCAUAUGAGAGUUCUCGGUUGCCUUUGUUUUGCCAAAAAUAUGUACAUUCAAAACAAAUUCCAACCUCCGAGUGUUGUUGCUAUUCACAUGGGCUACAGUGAUCAAACAAAGGGCUAUUUAUUAUACAAUUUCGAGGACAGAAAUUUCUUCCUUAGCAGAGAUGUGCUGUUUAGAGAAUCCAUAUUUCCCUUUGUUGUAUCACAUUCUACUUCCUGGAAGCUAUUUCCUCAUAUUGCUACACCUACUAAUCCUACAUCUCUCAUUAGUGGUCCUGAUAGUGUUGACACAACAGUCUUGCCUACAGAGGAACCUACCUUGAGAAGAUCCCAAAGAAGCAGCAAAGCUCCCUUGUGGUUGACUGACUAUGUUGCCUCUGCCCAGUUCAAUCAUGUUAAGCUUUUGUAUUCUAUUGACAAGUAUAUUGGCUAUGAGCAUUUGUCUCCCUCCUAUCAGGCCUUCCUCUCUUCCUUUGGUUCUGAAGUUGAGCCUGCUACCUUUCAAGAAGCUUGUACAGACCCAAGGUGGGUUGAGGCUAUGCAGGCUGUGAUCUCAGCUUUAGAAUCUCACCAGACCUGGCAGGUGGUUCCCUUGCCUUCACACAAGAAAGCCAUUGGUUGUAAGUGGAUUUUUAAAAUCAAGUAUCAUGCCUCUGGGGAGGUUGAUAGAUUCAAGGCACGACUGGUCGCAAAAAGUUUUAAUCAGAGAGAGGGGCUGGAUUACCAAGAAACUUUUUCCCCUGUCGUUAAGAUGGUCACUAUCCGAAGUGUAUUAGCACUAGCAGCUAAGGAACAUUGGCACAUUCACCAGAUGGAUGUGUCUAAUGCCUUCCUCCAGGGUGAUUUGUUUGAUGAGGUCUAUAUGACUCUUCCCCUUGGCUUUCAACCUCCACAGGGAUUUACUGUGCAGGGGGUGAAACCUGUAUGCAAGCUCACUAAAUCCCUUUAUGGGUUGAAACAGACCCCAAGGCAAUGGAAUGUGAAGCUUAUAGAAGCUCUUAUCAGAAUGGGAUUUGUGCAAAGUCAUCUUGAUUACUCUUUAUUCAUCAAGAAGACAAGCACAUCUCUAGUGAUACUGUUAGUAUAUGUUGAUGAUAUGAUGAUUACAGGAAAUGAUCUCAAUCUCAUUCAGCAGACCAAAAGAGUUCUACAGGAUACUUUCAAGAUGAAAGAUCUAGGUGAUCUCAAGUAUUUUCUUGGGAUUGAGUUUGCUAGAUCCCAAGAAGGAAUUGUGAUGCAUCAAAGGAAAUACACUCUAGAAAUUAUCUCAGAAGCUGGACUGGGUGUUGCUAAACCAGCUACUACUCCUCUGGAUCCAUAUGUGCAACUAACUACCAAAGAAUAUGAUGAAUUAAAUGGAACAGGAAAGGAUGACAAGCUACUUACUGAUCCAACAGUGUAUAGGAGGUUGGUUGGGAAACUAUUGUAUCUAAAUUCACCAGACCAGACAUAUCCUGACACACAAACUUUGAGCCAGUUUCUACAUCAACCUAAACAAUCACAUCUAAAUGCUGCUCUCAAGGUGGUGAGAUACAUCAAGAGUCAGGCAGGGCUAGGUGUCCUACUGUCCAGUCAAAGUAGUAAACAAUUACAAGUCUACUGUGACUCAGACUGGGGAGCUUGCCUACACACAAGAAGAUCAGUUACAGGUUUUAUGGUCAAACUGGGAGGCUCACUGAUAACUUUGAAAUCUAAGAAGCAAUGAACUAUUUCUAGAAGUUCAGCUGAGGCUGAAUACAGGAGUAUGGCAAGUGCAGUAGCUGAAGUAGUGUGGCUGGUGAAACUAUUCAAAGAACUUGGAGCAGAAGUACUCACACUAGUUACCAUCUAUAGUGACAGUAAAUCUGCUAUUCAAAUAGCUGCCAACCCAGUUCUACAUAAAGAACAAAACAUAUUGAGUUAGAUUGUCAUUUCAUAAGGGAGAAAAUUCAAAGUGGACUAAUUCAGAUGAGUAUUUGAAUACUAAAGAACAAGAUGCUGAUAUGCUGACUAAGGGUCUUGGAAAAUCACAACAUGAGUAUUUGCUAUCCAAGUUUGGAGUACUGAACUUGUUCAUACCUUCAAACUUGAGGGGGAGUAUUGAAGAAGGCAUUACAUAGGAAGUUUGGGUCAUUAUGUAAUUACUAGAAGUUAGAGGACUAGUGAUCAAGUAGUUAGUUAGGGUAGUUACAAUUUAUUAUUUUCCUUCUGUUGUAUAUAUACAUGUACAGAAUAUCUUAGUGAGCAAUCAAUACAAUUCAUAAUUUGUUAAAUCUCUGAGUUCUCUCUCUGCUUCUAGAACAUUUCAAAGUAAUACGAAGUGUUCAUCAAGCUAUCGUCUUCAAGAUAGCUAACAGAAUUAUCACGCAUGUGAGCUUUCUACGUGAACUAUCACCAAAAGUGUAUCGAAACACACGUCAAUUACCAAUAUUAAUCAACAUAAAUGAUAAAUUAUUCUCAUGAAAAUGUCAAUAAUAUUACUUGUGAGCUUUUAAUAUAUCGAGUGAUUAUUUAAAGAAACUUAUUGUGAUUGGUGAUGUAUGAAGAUAUAAAACCUGUAAUAAGACGAGGUCAAGAUAGAAUAUGGCGAUUGGUAUUUAUUUUCCACUUUUAAAGGGUC
RNAcentral lists this long non-coding RNA (5305 nucleotides) under Solanum tuberosum (potato). RNAcentral describes it as "long non-coding RNA (STUB_LNC002106)". Lineage: Eukaryota; Viridiplantae; Streptophyta; Magnoliopsida; Solanales; Solanaceae. The record is from RNAcentral.